This 67-nucleotide transfer RNA is filed under the name Pseudeuphausia sinica. Its description in RNAcentral is "tRNA-Ser". Lineage: Eukaryota; Metazoa; Arthropoda; Malacostraca; Euphausiacea; Euphausiidae. The record is from RNAcentral.
GGAAUUUACUGUCGUAAGAAGAAGCUUCUAACUCCCUCAAGAGCGGUUAAACUCCGUUCAUAUUCCU